UACGUAGGGACCAAGCGUUGUCCGGAAUCAUUGGGCGUAAAGAGCGUGUAGGCGGCUUGUUAAGUCUUGCGUGAAAUCUCGGGGCUCAACCCCGAGCGGUCGUGAGAAACUGGCAGGCUAGAGUGCGGGAGAGGAGAGUGGAAUUCCUGGUGUAGCGGUGAAAUGCGCAGAUAUCAGGAAGAACACCCGUGGCGAAGGCGGCUCUCUGGAACGAAACUGACGCUGAGACGCGAAAGCGUGGGGAGCAAACAGG
This 253-nucleotide ribosomal RNA is filed under the name uncultured bacterium. RNAcentral's name for it is "partial 16S ribosomal RNA". It matches the Rfam family "Bacterial small subunit ribosomal RNA", at positions 524 to 776 of the family's 1533-position model. The record is from RNAcentral.